UAAUGGCAGUGAAACAACCAAAAAUCAGGAAAGGAGAGAAAAGAAAGGAUGUAGAAGACCCCUGAAGUGACUAGUCAGUCCCAAUGUACUGAACAUCAACCCUGGUACAUUUAUCUGGUACAAAUCAGAAGUUUUCAUCAUGUUCUAAAACCUCAAACAACUCAAGUGAGUCUGGACCUGGUGGAACAAUUUCCCUGGACGGUAAUGGAUGAUUUGCCAGCCUCUCCCAGAAUGUGCUGUGGCUUUAUUAUCUGAAACCAAGGCACUGUCUCCCCUCUAGUUGGAACUGAAAAUAGCAGUGGUCUUACUGUUCUAUGCUUUACUGGGUGACAACUGUGCAUGUUUUAGUUGCCACAAGUGCAUGUCCAUCCAUAAAACACAUGGUGACAUUCCUGCGACUCAGAUGACUCCAGAUCAAUUGCCCAUUAUGACUUUUUCCUGUCAAUCCAAAUUUCUUCUCUGAAUUCUAUGCAGAGAAGUGUCAUCCUUAAAGAAGAGUGUUUAUUUAUUAAGUAUUUAUCACAUCUAUCUAGGCGGAAUAGUCAUCUGUUUCAAAUCCUUGAUUUUAAAAUAAACAUUCUCAUUUAAAAAUUU
Molecule: non-coding RNA, 594 nt
Organism: Ictidomys tridecemlineatus (thirteen-lined ground squirrel)
Lineage: Eukaryota; Metazoa; Chordata; Mammalia; Rodentia; Sciuridae
Source: RefSeq, a predicted model, not a curated record